UAUAUAUAUAUAUAUAUAUAUAUAUGCCAUUUUGAUGACAUUAGGAGCUCCAAGUCCUGUUGUUCAGUUGGGGAGACGGACCAUAAUAACUUUCCAUUUUUGGAAGGUAGAUGGUUAGCUGGUGGUUGAGAAACAACAGGAGGUUCAACAGUGAGGGUCUCACUCUCAUCAGACGGGGAUGCCUCAUGAUCAGGGUCCUGUUCAACAUCAUCCUCUCUCUCAGACACAUUCUCCUCUAUGUCGCUUUCAUGGUCAAAGAGCUGUGACCUCAUUCACAGAAAAUCCUUCUUUGGAACUCAUUUUCAGUUGAGAGAGAAAGCCGAAAGAGAGCACCCAAAACCAAAAAGGUUGAGAAGGCUGCUGUGCAAGCUUUUAUCGCACUCACAGGCAGUCACCUUAGCCCCUUGUCGUCCCCCCCAUCAAGCCCAAAUGAAAUGUGUUACUUUUCAGAUUGUUUGAUAAUAUACUGCAGGUGCAAGUACUUAGGUUUGCACCUGCAGAUUUUGUGUCUGACCGGAUUAGUUUUAUACAGCUAAAACGGCCUGGGGUCAAAUUGACAACACCGAACAUCGGAACAACACCGAUGCGUGGCACAUGUGUACAGGAAAUUGAAAAAAUAUCAUCAUGUUAAUUUACCCAGUUGUCCCCGGUAAAUUAGGAAAAGUCAUAAAAUUUUAAGCAAAAAAAAUGAUGUUAGGCAUCUAUUAGAAGAUGUUAAACAUCGAAUGGGGUCAAAUUGACCCCAAAAGUAAUAGGAGGGUUAAACAUUGCUAGCUAGACAUCUCAAAAUAGCAGUCACUUAGUUCCUGUUUUAGGCUAACUAAAAGCAUACUAAAUGUGUACUUGCUUACUCCCGAAAUCAUCCUAACUUUGUGUUCAUUUUAAUAUUUCAGAAUGGCACUCAAACAACUGCUGUGGACAAAAGCGCCCAAUAGUUAUUACAGGCCACCACCAAUCCACUUGUGUGUGGUUUUAAAAAAAGAGCAGCCCAGGGUGGUGACCUGGGAGUUCCAUGCGAAUGGUGUGAGACCAGGACUGGUGAAAAAAAAUGUCCUGGUUGCUCUCACGGAUGGCCAGUCGGUGGCUAAAGUCACCAUUUAUGAGGAGUUUUCCUCAAAGUGCCAAGAGGGGGGGAGCUAUUUCAUGAGGGGGUACGGACUGAGGGGAGAGUUCGUGCCCUACUCAAUUAAUAUUUCAAGGGAAACCAUGUUCUUCCGGAGUGGCCCAAUUGAGGUUACGCCGGAGCUCAGGAGGCAGGCGGAGAGCCUCAUCUGCCCCCCAUCUCCUCUCACCCCCCUGAGCAGCUGCACGGACACCCAGGGGCUGUUCACUGUAGAGGGCGAAGUGGUCCAAGGGGAAACAGAGAUGGCUGUCAGCCUGUGGAGAGAAGCUGCAGCAUCUGAUGUGCUCCAGGUUGGAGCGACUGUCAGGGUGUCCCAUCUUAGGACUAACCAGGGACAGUUUGGGACACAACUGCACCAACUUCACUUCCGUUGAGGAGGUGAUCUCAGAGGAGGUGGUGGGUGCGUGUGGGGUGAUGGACCUCGAGGGCUCUCCUGGCAUCCUGAACCUCCUGCUGGAGGUCGACCGCAUGACUACUAUUAGCAGGGCUCUGUUGGCGCCCAUAGAGCCCCACAUCACCAACCCGCCCUUAAGGGUAAAGCUGCAGAAGCACGGCAAUCGGGUUGUCAAAAUUGAAAUAGUUAAAAGUUCAUUUGUUUUUUUAUGUUGUUUAUUUGUUCCUGAAUGUGUAGUUAUUUAUUCAGUUAGUGUUAAUUUUGUUACAUGUUCAUGUUAAUAAAUUUGAAAUAUUUAAAGAACAUUUCUGCUUUUUUAAUGGUGUCCUUUGUUUCAUAGAAUCUUCAUUAUUG
This is a long non-coding RNA of Gasterosteus aculeatus aculeatus (three-spined stickleback), 1871 nucleotides long. NCBI's taxonomy places the organism in Eukaryota, Metazoa, Chordata, Actinopteri, Perciformes, Gasterosteidae. The record is from Ensembl.